GUGCUUGCUUUGGUAGCACAUAUAAUAAGUUUAGAACGAUAUAGGGAAGUUGAGCAUGGAUCCUAAGUAAGGAUGACAUGCAAAUUUGUGAAGUGUUCCAUAUUUUU
Jaculus jaculus (lesser Egyptian jerboa) is the source of this 107-nucleotide small nuclear RNA. NCBI's taxonomy places the organism in Eukaryota, Metazoa, Chordata, Mammalia, Rodentia, Dipodidae. The record is from Ensembl.